CUUAAUCUGGUUGGGCUACCAGAGGGAAAAGACAUGUGGCAGUGCUGGCUGUAGUGCAAGAGCUGGAGAUCCUGUGAGCUGGAGACCUGUUGCCCUAUGGACUGCAGCAUCAAGAGCCUGAUUCCCUGACAGUAACUCAAGGGCUCUGUGGCUCUGGAAAGGAAUCAUAGAGCUGUUUCCCCUGCAGUGUGUUCUGAGCCUACCUGACCCGCAUGCAGGGAGCUCAGGGCUUUCUUAAUUGCAGUGUGACCAAACCCAGGUGGAGGGUUCCUUUUCCAGCUGUGCAUCGAGUUGUGAUCCUGUAAACUGCUCAUCCAAUGCACUUCAAUCAGCUCCCCUGUUACUCCAGUCUCGGAGCUUGCCAAGCACAGCUCUGCCAAUGUACCAGACUCCUGACCUGCAGCUCUUCCUGCUAUCCCAGUCCUCAAACCAGUGCCACCAGCAAUGAAUCUGGCAAGUAGAUUUUCCCAAGGCUGGGCAGGUAUAAUGUAUGGGCUAAAUCAUCAGCCAGCUUUACUAUGCCCACUAGGCACAAAGUGCCUGUUUUCUGUUGACUGGAGUGCCUGGAACCAUUGUGAUGUCAUCCCUGCUCACGUGCCAGUGACAGGCAGCGAUAGGCAACUUCCCAGACUUCUCUCACCUGACACUUCACUGGGUUUUUUGGUUUUGAGGUUUUUCCUGCUCCAAAAAUGCAGCCCAUCCAGCUCCAAUAGACACCAAGGGCUUUUUCAAUUGCUGGUUGAAAGGAAAAUAGUUUCUGCUUUUCUAAGUCUUGUCUCUUCUCCCCCCCCCCAGCAUCCAUGGGUUAGACUGCUGCCUUCCACAUGGCUGCACAGACACACAGUUGUGUUCAUGUCAAUCCCCUUGAUACUAGUCAUGAGCCCUCUCCUGUACCAAGGUUCCCUGCUUCUGAUCUUUCUGCUUAAAGAUGCAAUUUGCAAAAGGGCAGGUUGUCGUGUUUCCUUUUUUCUCUUGGUGCAAACCAAACCUUGGGGCCUACUUCUUAUUUUGGGGUCAUCUCACAUCGUAUUCACCUUGAUAGCUCUCAUCCUGGUAUCCAGGUAACAAAAAUAAUACAUGUAGUGAAACAUUUUGCAUCUGGGGAUCUGAGAGCUUUUACCAUAUUAAUUAAACCAAGUCCCACAACACUGAUACAGAUAUGUUAAUAGAGAGGGGGCCAAGUUCAGAGGUAAUGUAGGUUAGACCCCCAUUCACCUGGUUAGAUGGGAUUACAGUCACUUACUGCUGUGUCAAUCAGUCUAAAGGAGACUAAGAUGAUGUAGGUUGCAUGCCACCAAGGUGUAAGUUAAAAUAGUGUGCAGCUUAUGUUAGCAUGCACAUUCUGAACCCUCCUGUUGCUGGCUUUUCUUGCUAUACUCUUCUGACACCUCAAUGUCUGGAUUCACUUCCCUUACUUAACCUCUGUAGGUCAGUUUCCUAAGGGAUGCAUAAGAGCUGGUCUGACUCCCCAUGUCGUUUGCAGCUGAGCAGUGUGGCUGAGAUGCUGGUAUUGUCCAAUCUAUUGGUUCAGUAUUAAUGACUUUGAUUAUUUAGAAUUCCCAAUUAACACACAAAUUUUGGUAGGGUCUUGUCCCUAUAUCAGGCCCCAGUGUUACCCAAAUUACUGUCCAGAUGGGCAUCCUUAGCCUAUUGUUUGGAAUAUUAACGCAUUAGCAUAUAUGUCAAUUAAUUACCAUAACUACCUUCAGUUAAACAUCUGCUGAUGUUGUCCUCCAAAAAUACCCUAAACCUGAUUUAAAAAAAAACCUGCUUGUGGUUACCUGUCAGCACUUGAUGCUCAGUUUUAACAUUUGUGAUCAUUACAAAACAAUCUUAUGCCAUCUUACGACUUAAGGUCACUUUUAGUUUACUUGUGCCAACCCAGUUCAGCAACUCAGGCUGUUAGGCCUCAUUCUUAGGCUAACUGCGUCAGCUACUUACAGGUCUAGGACGGUAGGUCUCUUGCAUUUCUGCAUUAUCUUUAUUAAAUAAUCAACACAUGGGCUGCACUAGUGCAGGUGAGUGGAGAGUUCAGAUUCUGUAGCAUUUUACACCCAUUUUCAUGCACUUUGCACAGAGCAGGCACAAAUCACACUAUGGGGUAUAAGCUGCAUGGUGGUAAGUGAGUCACCAGACAGUCUAAAGUGGUGGGAUAUGGUCUAAGCCAAACAAAUUUAGACUCCCUCUAGGCUUAUUAGACUCCUGAGUGACCAUACUUGGAAGAUGAAAGAUUAAAAGUUAAUUGUGCUGUGAAAAGCAAGCCUGAAAUAAUGCCUGAUUAUUUUACAGAUUAUAGUUCAUGUGUGCUCAUUUUGCAAAUAAAACACCAUUUUCUCUUCUAAUAGCCAGUGCCCCUGGAAGAGGAGAGUUGGACUGGGCUUUUUGGGGCAUCAUCACUAGUAAUAAAGACCCUUUACUGAAAAUCAGUGCAUCAGUCUGCUGGUGCUGUGAGAGCCAGAAUAGACUCCAGCUCACCUUCCAGUGGAAGGAAGGUGAGGAAGAGGGGCAUAUGGAGCAUGUUGGCACUUAUAAUACUUUUGAGAAAUUGCAAAUGUCUGUCUACUACAGUCUGUAUUUGAUUGUAUCCCACCAGACUUUGUAUAUUUUGCUUUUAUUUUU
Long non-coding RNA from Mauremys reevesii (Reeves's turtle), 2619 nucleotides. RefSeq lists it as uncharacterized. The record is from RefSeq and is a predicted model, not a curated record. Lineage: Eukaryota; Metazoa; Chordata; Testudines; Geoemydidae. The transcript has 3 exons.